CCUACGGGUGGCAGCAGUGAGGAAUAUUGGUCAAUGGGCGCAAGCCUGACCCAGCAAUGCCGCGUGAAGGAAGAAGGCUCUCGGGUUGUAAACUCCUUUUAUCAGGGACGAAGGAUGUGACGGUACCUGAUGAAUAAGCUCCGGCUAACUACGCGCCAGCAGCCGCGGUACUACGUAGGGAGCAAGCGUUAUCCGGAUGUACUGGGAGUAAAGGGCGCGUAGGCGGGAUAGCAAGUCAGAUGUGAAAUCCAGGGGCUCAACCCCAGAACUGCAUUUGAAACUGUCGUUCUUGAGUACUGGAGAGGUAGACGGAAUUCCUGGUGUAGGGGUAAAAUGCGUAGAGAUUAGGAGGAACACCAGUGGCGAAGGCGAUCAGCUGGACAGCAACUGACGCUGAGGCGCGAAAGCGUGGGGAGCAAACAGGAUUAGAUACCCGGGUAGUC
RNAcentral lists this ribosomal RNA (443 nucleotides) under uncultured bacterium. Its description in RNAcentral is "partial 16S ribosomal RNA". It matches the Rfam family "Bacterial small subunit ribosomal RNA", at positions 338 to 795 of the family's 1533-position model. The record is from RNAcentral.